Molecule: ribosomal RNA, 467 nt
Filed under: uncultured bacterium
Lineage: Bacteria
Description: partial 16S ribosomal RNA
Rfam family: Bacterial small subunit ribosomal RNA
Source: RNAcentral
GAUGAACGCUGGCGGCGUGCUUAACACAUGCAAGUCGAACGAUGAAGCCCAGCUUGCUGGGUGGAUUAGUGGCGAACGGGUGAGUAACACGUGAGUAACCUGCCCUUGACUCUGGGAUAAGCCUGGGAAACUGGGUCUAAUACCGGAUACGACCAUUGCCCGCAUGGGUUGGGGGUGGAAAGCUUUUGUGGUUUUGGAUGGACUCGCGGCCUAUCAGCUUGUUGGUGAGGUAAUGGCUCACCAAGGCGACGACGGGUAGCCGGCCUGAGAGGGUGACCGGCCACACUGGGACUGAGACACGGCCCAGACUCCUACGGGAGGCAGCAGUGGGGAAUAUUGCACAAUGGGCGAAAGCCUGAUGCAGCGACGCCGCGUGAGGGAUGACGGCCUUCGGGUUGUAAACCUCUUUCAGUAGGGAAGAAGCGAGAGUGACGGUACCUGCAGAAGAAGCGCCGGCUAACUACGUG